Molecule: ribosomal RNA, 247 nt
Filed under: Clavaria sp. 6 CRJH-2017
Lineage: Eukaryota; Fungi; Basidiomycota; Agaricomycetes; Agaricales; Clavariaceae
Description: partial 28S ribosomal RNA
Rfam family: Eukaryotic large subunit ribosomal RNA
Source: RNAcentral
AAAGCUCAAAUUUAAAAUCUGGCAGCCUUUGGUUGUCCGAGUUGUAAAUUAGAGAAGCGCUACCCGCGUUGGCCUGUGCAAAAGUCUCUUGGAAAAGAGCAUCAUAGAGGGUGACAAUCCCGUCUUUGGCACAGACUACCAGGGCAUUGUGGUACGCUCUCAAUGAGUCGAGUUGUUUGGGAAUGCAGCUCUAAAUGGGUGGUAAAUUCCAUCUAAAGCUAAAUAUUGGCGAGAAACCGAUAGCGAA